Molecule: ribosomal RNA, 450 nt
Filed under: uncultured Glomeromycotina
Lineage: Eukaryota; Fungi; Glomeromycota
Description: SSU rRNA
Rfam family: Eukaryotic small subunit ribosomal RNA
Source: RNAcentral
AGCAGCCGCGGUAAUUCCAGCUCCAAUAGCGUAUAUUAAAGUUGUUGCAGUUAAAAAGCUCGUAGUUGAAUUUCGGGAUCAAUAUAUCGGUCGUGCCUUUGGUACGUACUGGUAUCAUUGAUUUCUCCCUUCUGACGAAUCAUGAUGUCAUUAAUUUGGUGUUAUGAGGAGUUAGGACUGUUACUUUGAAAAAAUUGAGUGUUUAAAGCAGGCAUUAGCUUGAAUACAUUAGCAUGGAAUAAUGAAAUAGGACGUUUGACCCUAUUUUGUUGGUUUCUAGGAUCGACGUAAUGAUUAAUAGGGAUAGUUGGGGGCAUUAGUAUUCAAUUGUCAGAGGUGAAAUUCUUGGAUUUAUUGAAGACUAACUACUGCGAAAGCAUUUGCCAAGGAUGUUUUCAUUAAUCAAGAACGAAAGUUAGGGAUCGAAGACGAUCAGAUACCGUCGUAGUC